AACCUAGGCUUCGGCCUAGGGGACAGCGGCGAACGGGUGAGUAACACGUGGGUAAUCUGCCCUCGACAUCGGGAUAGCCCGGGGAAACCCGGAUUAAUACCGAAUAGCCCAUCCGCUUUUCGGAGCGGCUGGAAAAGGUAGCUUUGGCCUCCGGUCGAGGAGGAGCCCGCGGCGGAUUAGCUUGUUGGUGAGGUAACGGCCCACCAAGGCGACGAUCCGUAGCUGGUCUGAGAGGACGAUCAGCCACACUGGGACUGAGACACGGCCCAGACUCCUACGGGAGGCAGCAGUGGGGAAUCUUGCGCAAUGGGCGAAAGCCUGACGCAGCGACGCCGCGUGCGGGAAGAAGGCCUUCGGGUUGUAAACCGCUUUCAGGAGGGACGAAGCCACUCAGGUUAAUAGCCGAGAGGGUGACGGUACCUCCAGAAGAAGCCCCGGCUAACUACGUGCCAGCAGCCGCGGUAAUACGUAGGGGGCAAGCGUUGUCCGGAUUUAUUGGGCGUAAAGAGCGUGUAGGCGGCCAGAUAAGUCUGCUGUGAAAACUCGAGGCUCAACCUCGAGCUGUCGGCGGAAACUAUUUGGCUAGAGUCCGGAAGAGGAAAGCGGAAUUCCUGGUGUAGCGGUGAAAUGCGCAGAUAUCAGGAAGAACACCCGUGGCGAAGGCGGCUUUCUGGGACGGUACUGACGCUGAGACGCGAAAGCGUGGGGAGCGAACAGGAUUAGAUACCCUGGUAGUCCACGCUGUAAACGAUGGGUGCUAGGUGUGGGCGGUGUCGACUCCGUCCGUGCCGAAGCUAACGCAUUAAGCACCCCGCCUGGGGAGUACGGCCGCAAGGCU
This 838-nucleotide ribosomal RNA is filed under the name uncultured Actinomycetes bacterium. RNAcentral's name for it is "bacterial SSU rRNA". It matches the Rfam family "Bacterial small subunit ribosomal RNA", at positions 70 to 895 of the family's 1533-position model. Lineage: Bacteria; Bacillati; Actinomycetota; Actinomycetes. The record is from RNAcentral.